AAUCCCAAAUUUCCCAAGUUGAAACCUAUCAUUCAAUCUGAUGGUAUAUUCAAAGCAGGAAUCGCAUCAAGCUUACUCAUUCAACCAAUAUCAAGUUAUUCAUGCAUUACGGUAAAAGUAGAAACACCGAUUCAAUAUUGAGCGAAUAACAAACAUGUCAGAGAUUUCAGCAUGAAAUGAGUAAAUGUGGAAGAAGAAAUACCGACGGAAGGAAAUCUGAAGCUUUCGACUUCUUGAACUCCGCUGACUCUUCGAGCGAAAAUCUCUCCAAGUCCCCGUGGCUUCAGCUCAGUUUUCUCAAAGUUCUAAUGAUGAACUUUGAGCGAACUUUGGGAGUAUUGAGCUUUGGUGAAUGGGUGUGAGGGAAAUCUCAGCAGAGUAACGGUGCCAGGAUUAGGUUACUUUUCCGAUGACUCUCACCAUCUAUCUAUAGAGCCUUCUCCUAGGAUCCUCAAAUCAUGAGCUGUCAAAUCUAUCCAAAAUCAUUCCGUUAGAGAGGAAUUUUUCGCUAGAUUUUGUGGGGACCAAAGGUUUUGGUUAACUGAUGCGAAGAGGAGAAGUUACCACUGAUGUACUGCAGGAUAUUGCCAUGAAUUCACACAUUGAUGUAACGUGAUGCUAUUGCACUCUCAUUAAGCUGUUACGCAGUCCAUGCCGGUCUGUUGUGGAUUUGUUGGUUCGGCAAGGCUCCUGUAACUCCAUCUCGGCAGGUUUAUUCGUACUGGAAUUGUUCCUUAUUGUUGGUUAUGUCUGUCCGCACGAUAAUGAUGUCUCUACUUGAUUACAACUUGUUUUGCUACCAGUGAACCGGUUUCUUUCAGGAAGGGUAAGAUGAAUCAACUAUGGCCCUUCUAGUUUUCUUUUUCAAUCUCUAAUAACCUGUAUCAUAAUUUAUUCCUUUUCUGCAAUUUCAGAAUUUGAAGCUUGGGAAUUAAUAUGACCAACUUCUGCUUGCGAUUUCUUGUGACCUGCUUCGAUGUGCCAUUGACAUUUUAGCUUGGUAUAACUAACAACUUUGAUCUAUUUAUCCUGCAUGGAAUCCGGUACAAUAUGCUUAUCACUAUAACCUUGCUCUCACUUAUUCAUGAUUUUACUUCUGAUCAAACUGCUGUGGUACCAUUCAGGCAUUGCAAAACUUGUGUCCUGCAUGUUCUUUGGCUCAUUUGUGAUAUGCAAGUUGCAGCUGGCCUACUGGCGGGUCUA
Molecule: long non-coding RNA, 1203 nt
Organism: Lathyrus oleraceus (garden pea)
Lineage: Eukaryota; Viridiplantae; Streptophyta; Magnoliopsida; Fabales; Fabaceae
Exons: 4
Source: RefSeq, a predicted model, not a curated record